RNAcentral lists this long non-coding RNA (1572 nucleotides) under Ornithorhynchus anatinus (platypus). RNAcentral's name for it is "lncRNA (ENSOANG00000051118.1)". Lineage: Eukaryota; Metazoa; Chordata; Mammalia; Monotremata; Ornithorhynchidae. The record is from RNAcentral.
AUGGCUCAGUGUGCCCACCGCGAGGCCCCGGCCUCCUCCUCCUCCUUCUCGUCGUCCUCGUCCUCAUGCCCGGGCUCCCACCCGGAGGCCUGCCGGGACCUGGGGGACGCCGUCCUCCUCCUGCUCGGCCUCAUCAUCGCCAUCAACAUCGGCCUCAACGUGGUGACGCUGGUGAGGUCGGGGAGGUGGCGCGGGCCCGGGGCCCCGCGGCGGCGGCACGAGGCGGGGACCCCGAGGCCGGGAGGGCCUCGGCGCUGGGGGGCCGCGGGAGAGGACGGCGGGCCUUCACGCUGCCGCGCCUUGGAUACCCCUAGAUCUGGCGCCGCCUCCGGGGUUCCCUACGUAGAGUUUUCCAUUAUUUUUUCCCAAUACGUAAGUACGGAAACCACCCUAGUUCCCGUCCCGGCCGAGAGCCUCCCCUUCCCUCCCUGUCUGUCUUCCUCCUACCCCCACCCCGACCCCACCUGUCUCCCCGCUCUCCCCACCUCGCCCUCCUUCCCGCACCCCGUCUUCUUCCCCCUCCCCUACCCACCUAUCUUCCUCCUCCUACCCCCCGGCCCCCUCCCCCACCUGUCUUCCCCGCCCCCUGACCCCCCUCCCCCUUCCCCGCCCAGCCCCCCACCCUCCCCUCAGGGGCCCUCAGCUUCUCCCAGGCCCCGAACUCCCAGCCCCGGCCGGCCUCCCGGCUGCGCGCCCCCCCUUCCCGGGGGUCCCGGACCACCGCCUCAGCCCACCGGCCCCCGACGUCCGGGUCCGCUGCACCAUGGACCCCGUGAAGCUGACGCUGACCCCGCCCGCCCUCCGCCACCACCGCGGGCCCAGCGCCCCGGACCCCUGGGCCCCCGACACGGACGACGAGAAGGCCGCCUGGCCCCGCCACUCCUCGUCCUGCCGCCACGGCUGGGACGGACCGGCCCAGCCGUACCCCGGGUUCGCCCCGGGGAACUGGAACCAGCGGGGCGGCCUCCCGGCCCCAGCCGCCGUGGGCGUCCGCUUCCCCCCGGGCCUGGGGGGCUCCACGGCCAAGCGGGGGGCGGCCGGGGGCGCCGAGCCGGGGGCCGAGGUCUACGUCUACCCGGUGGGCGGCACUCCCGGCGGCCCCGAGCCCCCCGGCCGCAGGUCCAACCCGGACCCCGGCUCCCCGCUGUCCUCCCGCCGCUCUCCCGCGCCCCCCAACCCGUCCUGGAUGCCCCUGAGCCACAGCCCCCGGCCCUCCCUCAGCCACGUGGUCUACGACGCCCGAGAGCUCAGGCGGAGGGUGCGCGAAGGGUCGGCCGAGGUCUCGCCCCCGGCGCCCCCUCCCGCCUCGCCCCAGCCCGCCCCCGGGGCCCUGGAGGAGCCGUACCGGGACUGGAUGUACCAGCCCACGGUGGGCCGGGCCUGGGAGCCGCUCGGGUCCGGCGGCUGCAAGCGGGAGGGGAAGGACGAUUAAAGAGAGGAGCGGGCCGAGCCAUCGGGCCGUGGUGCUUAUUGAGCGCCUGCUGCGGGCGCGGCGCUCUGCCGACCGCUCGGGAGAGGACGGUGCGACGGGGUUGGGAGACGCCAUCCCAGCCCACGGGCAGCUUCCGGUAA